Molecule: long non-coding RNA, 906 nt
Filed under: Coffea arabica (coffee)
Lineage: Eukaryota; Viridiplantae; Streptophyta; Magnoliopsida; Gentianales; Rubiaceae
Description: long non-coding RNA (CARA_LNC005554)
Source: RNAcentral
UUAAUUUGGAUAUAUAGAAUGAAAUCUACAAUAGCUGACAAAAUAGGUCAUGCAUUACUUUUUUUUUUUUUUGGGCAGUAUCAAUUUAUUAGUAAGAAAGAAGUGAACUGCUGCCCAGCACAAAAUUGCAGGACUGCUGACCAGUCACAAACUAACUAUGCAAUUCUAACACAAAGCUACCGAUCAGUAUAACUAAGCUAAACAGAACACUUGCAUAGAAAAGCCCCACUCUGGACAAAACUCCCAACCGGCCUUAGUCCUUGGAAUCCUCCUCCAGCUGGUACUGCUGCAUGAACCAAUUUGGAAAUAGAAAUUACUUAGUCUAUGAUAGCUGAAAAAAUAGUACAGUUUGUCAAUGUUGUAAAAAUUAAUCUAAAAGAUUGAAAUCAACUGCACUUAAAAAUCUAAAUACGUCAUACCAUUUGUAAUAAAAAUAAUCCUCUUAUUGUGAUCAAAGAACGACGUCUUCAUCAAAGAAAGAAAGAUAAAUCAUGAUGAUUGGUCAUGAACAUGGAAACUCCACCCUUGCAUAUUGAAUACUUAAAACGUGCACCAAUUUGAGCAAUAAGCAACAUUUGAUUACGGCUUCCCAGGCUACCUUGAAGAAUGGCUGAUUUGACUAUCUGUUUGGGCAACGUGUGAAACAAUUUCUCAAAACCGUGAUCAUUUUUGUUUUCCUCUUGGCUUGAAGAGUUUGCUUUUGGGAAGUUGGAUAUAUAAUUCUUCCAUUUGAAGGUCAGAGAUCAGAAUGGUGGUUAACGUAUAUUGUAGAUGCAUACGUGGAUAAUUUUUGCUAGUUGGCAAGAAGUCAACUGUGAAGAAGCUAGAUAUGUACUCACUCAUAAAUGUUUUUUCCAGGAGAGAAAAAAAUAAAGUAAAAUUUAUAAAAGAAUUAUUCAAUUUAUG